This 467-nucleotide ribosomal RNA is filed under the name uncultured bacterium. RNAcentral's name for it is "partial 16S ribosomal RNA". It matches the Rfam family "Bacterial small subunit ribosomal RNA", at positions 29 to 507 of the family's 1533-position model. The record is from RNAcentral.
ACGCACGCUGGCGGCGUGCUUCACACAUGCACGUCGAACGGAAAGGCCCUGCUUUUGUGGGGUGCUCGAGUGGCGAACGGGUGAGUAACACGUGAGUAACCUGCCCUUGACUUUGGGAUAACUUCAGGAAACUGGGGCUAAUACCGGAUAGGAGCUCCUGCUGCAUGGUGGGGGUUGGAAAGUUUCGGCGGUUGGGGAUGGACUCGCGGCUUAUCAGCUUGUUGGUGGGGUAGUGGCUUACCAAGGCUUUGACGGGUAGCCGGCCUGAGAGGGUGACCGGCCACAUUGGGACUGAGAUACGGCCCAGACUCCUACGGGAGGCAGCAGUGGGGAAUAUUGCACAAUGGGCGGAAGCCUGAUGCAGCAACGCCGCGUGCGGGAUGACGGCCUUCGGGUUGUAAACCGCUUUCGCCUGUGACGAAGCGUGAGUGACGGUAAUGGGUAAAGAAGCACCGGCUAACUACGUG